GCCUUCGUGGUGUAGUGGUUAGCACGCUCGGCCCGUAUCUAGAGGUUCAUGGUUCGAGUCCCAGCGAGGGCA
RNAcentral lists this transfer RNA (72 nucleotides) under Stegodyphus mimosarum. It matches the Rfam family "tRNA". From Rfam's summary of the family: Transfer RNA (tRNA) molecules are approximately 80 nucleotides in length. Their secondary structure includes four short double-helical elements and three loops (D, anti-codon, and T loops). Lineage: Eukaryota; Metazoa; Arthropoda; Arachnida; Araneae; Eresidae. The record is from Rfam by way of RNAcentral.